Molecule: ribosomal RNA, 301 nt
Filed under: uncultured bacterium
Lineage: Bacteria
Description: partial 16S ribosomal RNA
Rfam family: Bacterial small subunit ribosomal RNA
Source: RNAcentral
CAGUAGCCGCGGUAAUGCGUAGGGUGCGAGCGUUAAUCGGAAUUACUGGGCGUAAAGCGUGCGCAGGCGGUUGUGUAAGACAGGUGUGAAAUCCCCGGGCUUAACCUGGGAACUGCGCUUGUGACUGCACAGCUAGAGUAUGGCAGAGGGGGGUGGAAUUCCACGUGUAGCAGUGGAAUGCGUAGAGAUGUGGAGGAACACCGAUGGCGAAGGCGGCUUACUGGCUCAUACUGGACGCUGAGGUGCGAAAGCGUGGGGAGCAAACAGGAUUAGAUACCCCCGUAGUCCCUGUCUCUUAUAC